GACAGAGGUGCCAAGCGUUAGGCGGAAUCACUGGGCUUAAAGCGUGUGUAGGCGGAUUGGUAAGUCCCUUGUGAAAUCCCACAGCUUAACUGUGGAACUGCUCGGUAUACUGCUGAUCUUGAGCCACUCAGGGGCUACCGGAACAAAUGGUGGAGCGGUGAAAUGCGUAGAUAUCAUUUGGAACGCCAAUGGUGAAAACAGGUAGCUGGGGGUGUGCUGACGCUGAGACACGAAAGCCAGGGGAGCAAACGGG
This 253-nucleotide ribosomal RNA is filed under the name uncultured bacterium. RNAcentral's name for it is "partial 16S ribosomal RNA". It matches the Rfam family "Bacterial small subunit ribosomal RNA", at positions 524 to 776 of the family's 1533-position model. The record is from RNAcentral.